CAACUCUACGUUUCAGAGAGUCUGCACUGGGAAUAGUGGUUUUAUCUGUCGACAUUUCUUGGUGUUCUGGGAAACCUUAACUGUGUGUGUGUGUGUGUGUGUGUGUGUGUGUGUGUGUGUGUGUGUGUGUGUGUGUGUGUGUAUACUAACACAGGCCAGGGAGUAUAGCUGGGAGAGCAGCUACCUUGGCUCCAGCAGUGAGGGCCCCCCGCCCAGCCCCCAGCCUCGCUCGCGCCUGUGUCGCAUGAACGCCAUCUGCCCCGACUUCAUGAGGAGCGAUGACCUCGAGUUCACUGAGGGUGGAUUGAGCAGCCUCCGGUCGAGCCAUGUGGAGCCGCCAGGUAUCGAUUCUCUCCGGAGAAGACAGUUAGACUUGAGCUCCGAUUACAGCCUCGAAACAGAUGACAGUCCGUUCUCUUUGGACACAGAGAGUGACUUUGUCAUGAUC
This is a long non-coding RNA of Clupea harengus (Atlantic herring), 448 nucleotides long. The record is from Ensembl. NCBI's taxonomy places the organism in Eukaryota, Metazoa, Chordata, Actinopteri, Clupeiformes, Clupeidae.